Molecule: long non-coding RNA, 466 nt
Organism: Anoplopoma fimbria (sablefish)
Lineage: Eukaryota; Metazoa; Chordata; Actinopteri; Perciformes; Anoplopomatidae
Exons: 3
Source: RefSeq, a predicted model, not a curated record
AGCAGCUAUUUGACAUGUGAUUGCAGGGUGACAUAUCAAAAGGGCUGCUGUGCAAAGGUCUUAUUACACCUGUGGUUUUCCUUUUAUAAUCAGUCAACAUGUCUGCUGUGAAAAGGCGUCUACUUUUGGGAAUGAAAGCAGCUUGGCUGUUCUGAUGGAAAGCUUCAAGCAACCCAGUAUUCUCCCAAAGCUGCUGAUGGAUUUUGUCUCUCAAUACUGCUUUAAACUGCCAAACAAGAGAAAAUGCCACCGCCGCAAAAGCUGUUCUGGAGGCUUCUCUAAAGCCUCUGACCUACUUCAAGCACUUAGUAUGAUGGAGGAAAAAGACACUGCUGGUGUGCAAAAUUCAGGCAAUGACAGAAGAAGAGGGAUACCGACUCGUCUUUAUAAGCGAUGCCUGAGGCUGGAAAAGGGAAGCUGAUGUUAUGGCACAGCUCACACAAUUUUAGACGAAGCUUCUGUUAAU